UCAUUUCAAAAAUGCGUUUGAAAAACACUUGACGUUGGAUAAGAUUUUAAAAUAUUGUAAAUAUUAAUUAUUGUUUUUUUCUUUAAUUAUUUAAAUAACUAAAAAAAUAAUUAAUAAAAUAAAAGAAGAUAAAAAAAAUAAUGAUGCGAUAAAAUGGAGUGGAAUAGUAAUGCAUGGGUGAUGAUAAACAAAGAAAUAAAAUAAAUGGGUUAGGCCCAAUAGAAAUCAAAGGAAGAAAACAAAAUAAAAACAAAGUCAAUCAUGAAAAAAAAAAUAGAAAGAAAGUAAAAGGGGGUG
Molecule: long non-coding RNA, 297 nt
Filed under: Lathyrus oleraceus (garden pea)
Lineage: Eukaryota; Viridiplantae; Streptophyta; Magnoliopsida; Fabales; Fabaceae
Description: Pisum sativum (pea) long non-coding RNA (PSAT_LNC021477)
Source: RNAcentral